CCUACGGGUGGCUACAGUGAGGAAUAUUGGUCAAUGGCCGGAAGGCUGAACCAGCCAAGCCGCGUGAAGGACGAAGGUGCCAAGCAUUGUAAACUUCUUUUGUCAGGGGACAAAAACAGGCUCGAGAGCCUGACCGAGGGUACUUGAAGAAAAAGCAUCGGCUAACUCCGUGCCAGCAGCCGCGGUAAUACGGAGGAUGCGAGCGUUAUCCGGAUUUAUGGGGUUAAAAGGGUGCGUAGGCGGACGGUAAAGUCAGAGGUAAAAGCCCGGGGCGAAACCCCGGAUAGCCGUUGAAACUGGCUGGCUAGAGAGUUCGAGAGGUAGGCGGAAUGCGCUGUGUAGCGGUGAAAUGCUUAGACAUUGCGCAGAACUCCGAUUGCGAAGGCAGCAUACCGGCGUCCAUCUGACGCUGAGGCACGAAAGCGUGGGUAUCGAACAGGAUUAGAUACCCCAGUAGUC
RNAcentral lists this ribosomal RNA (459 nucleotides) under uncultured bacterium. RNAcentral describes it as "partial 16S ribosomal RNA". It matches the Rfam family "Bacterial small subunit ribosomal RNA", at positions 338 to 795 of the family's 1533-position model. The record is from RNAcentral.